CCUACGGGAGGCAGCAGUGGGGGAUAUUGCACAAUGGGGGAAACCCUGAUGCAGCGACGCCGCGUGAGUGAAGAAGUACUUAGGGAUGUAAAGCUCUAUCAGCAGGGAAGAAAAUGACAGUACCUGACCCAGAAGCCCCGGCUAACUACGUGCCAGCAGCCGCGGGAAUACGUAGGGGGCAAGCGGUAUCCGGAUUUACUGGGUGUAAAGGGAGCGUAGACGGUUAUGUAAGUCUGGAGGUAAAGCCCGGGGCCCAACCCCGGUACCGCUGUUGAAACUGUGUAACUGGAGUACACGAGGGGCAGGCGGAAUGCCUGGUGUAGCGGUGAAAUGCGUAGAUAUCAGGAGGAACUCCGGCGGCGAAGGCGGCCUGCUGGACUUAAACUGACGUUGAGGCUCGAAAGCGUGGGGAGCGAACAGGAUUAGAUACCCUUGUAGUC
Molecule: ribosomal RNA, 440 nt
Filed under: uncultured bacterium
Lineage: Bacteria
Description: partial 16S ribosomal RNA
Rfam family: Bacterial small subunit ribosomal RNA
Source: RNAcentral